Molecule: ribosomal RNA, 774 nt
Filed under: uncultured Neocallimastigales
Lineage: Eukaryota; Fungi; Neocallimastigomycota; Neocallimastigomycetes; Neocallimastigales
Description: partial large subunit ribosomal RNA
Rfam family: Eukaryotic large subunit ribosomal RNA
Source: RNAcentral
UACGACUACAUAUCAGGCAUAUCAAUAAGCGGAGGAAAAGAAACUAACAAGGAUUCCCUUAGUAACGGCGAGUGAAGCGGGAAGAGCUCAAAUUUGAAAUCUUCAAGGUUUUACCUUGACGAAUUGUAGUUUAAAGAAGUGUUUUCUGUUGAAGUUUUGGUAAAAGUUCUUUGGAAUAGGACAUCAUAGAGGGUGAGAAUCCCGUAUUUGACCAUUAUUUCUAGCUGUGUGAUACACUUUCAAAGAGUCGGAUUGUUUGGGAAUGCAGUCCAAAAUGGGUGGUAAAUUUCAUCUAAAGCUAAAUAUUGGCGAGAGACCGAUAGCGAACAAGUACCGUGAGGGAAAGAUGAAAAGAACUUUGAAAAGAGAGUUAAACAGUACGUGAAAUUGUCAAAAGGGAAGCGUUUGACACCAGUGUUGUUUUCUCGAAAAUCAAUUAAAAAGAGUUGGAUUUUGUGUUGUAUUGACCUUAACAGCUUGCUUCACUCUUUUCCAGCUUUUUUUAAUGCACUUUUCGUUUAACAAGUCAACAUCAGUUUCUUUUGUUGUAAAAGGGUCAUUGGAAGGUGGCUUUCUCUUCGGAGAAAGUGUUUAUAGCCUUUGAUCUCUGCAAUCGGAGAGACUGAGGUCUGCAGCGUAGAUCCUUCGGGGUUAGAUACAUUUGUGCUAAGCUACAGCUUUUCAUAGACAACUUGUUGACUAUGUUUAGUCUUGUAACUUACCCGCUUAUGCUAUUUUACCUACGCUUAGGAUGUUGAGCGCAUGUCUCUCUCU